Molecule: non-coding RNA, 4717 nt
Organism: Rattus norvegicus (Norway rat)
Lineage: Eukaryota; Metazoa; Chordata; Mammalia; Rodentia; Muridae
Source: RefSeq, a predicted model, not a curated record
AUAGAAACCUUUUAUUGUAGAAAUGGCACUCUGGAAACCAUUAACUUAGGACCCUGUCCUUCCUAUAGAUGAAGUGUUUGUCUUUCCUGUGGUCCAGGAGGGAGGAAGCAAGAGAGGGUUAUUCCCAACUGUUGAUGCUUACAAAAGUCAACCACAUGCAUGAGGCAGAAUCAAGUGACUGGGGCUACAGAUAGGCAUGAAAAAGGACCUAGUAGGGACAGUUAGGCCUGUUUUCAUGAAAGAGAUCCUAUGGAAGAUAUGGUUAGAUCUGACUUGAUUCAAGUGGUUGACCUCCCUCUUUGAGGCAAGGUUGGCCUUGAGCACCUUGGUCUGGGACCCAAACUCUUCAUGUGUGCCUCAAAGUCUUGAACUAAGUUAGCUGAUCCCAGCUUCCCUGGUUGUGCUUGGGUUCUGUCCUGGGUUUCACAGUCUCUUCUGGAUUCUCAGUCAUUGAGCAACUUCUCUUGCCAUAAACCACAGGGAGAAUCAGCACUGAGGGUCAGAAACUGGAAGAAAAAAAAAAAAAAAAAAAAACGAAACACAGAUUGGUUUGAGUUAAGUGUGACCUUCUUCAGCAGAGGAAUGGGAAGUUCGGUGGCCAGGAUGGUACUGCCAACCCUCUGGAGCCGACCGUGAGAUUCCGAUGGUUUGGUAGUGUAAGAAUUAGCUUUGUGCUCUUGGGAACACAAGGAGUACUGACUUGUGGCUUUCCAGGAACAUGCCACAAAUAGAAGAUUCUAGAAGGUCACAGAAGGUCUUCAUUUCGGGUCUUAAAAAGAAUGAUGCUUUCGUUUGUUGGUGAAUAGGGCUGUUAGCCUGAGUCUGAGAAUUCUGUGGGUUUGAAAAGACUGCCCCGAAGGGGGAAAGGGAUGGGUCGGCAAAGGGCAAAGGUCCCUUUCAGGCAGCAAGGAAAGCUGAGGCUGUCAGCUGAGUGACUAGAUCUGACUUGCUAGGACCGAGUAAGUGUGAAUGGACAAUCCUGCCUUCUCAUCCCCACUGAGGACUCUGCUCUUCUCUGGUUUGGGACAGCAGAUGCAGGCGGAGACAAGUCACGUCAUUACGUUUACCAUUACCAGCCCAGAACCCCGGUCCAGGGAUCAGCGGCCAUACAUUCUUCUUGCGGUCCAAGUUCUCCCAAAUAAAUCCUGCUUUUGGAACCGCAUGUGGACAUACAUUCAGAAUGUUACCUCCUAGGGAACUGUGCCUUUGGACCCCUCAGGUAAGAUACCGGUAACCCCACUUUGGCUAGACUGGGUUUCAUGCAAUGGUGCACAAGCCCAGAGAUGAUAACAAGAAAAAUCUAAAGAGUUUGCAAGAGGCCUCCCUUCCUUCUAUACUUAACAACCAACAAAUGUUUACCGGUGAGUUAGGUGUGGUACCACAUAGUCUAGCAACUAGGUCGGUAAACACGAGACUUCAGAAGAUUCUGUAUGUUUGCCAGAUGCAUGUCAUUGCCUAGUGAGACAGGGGAAUGGGUGACUUCAAAUCCAAGACCAGUAAACCUACAGCUAAUGUUAGGAGAGUCUUCUGUUCUCAGAAUCUAGCCCGACUUUCACUUGCCCACUGCAGUUUAACUUAGACAACUCUUUGCGUAGGACACUCGCGUGGCUGACCAUAAUCUGAUGGCCAGAUCGGUGAGGGUGGGGGAGUGCUUGCCCCAUUCCCAGAAUUCAUCACUACCUUGCGUGAUGGGAAGGAAAAGUCACUGUGGACCUACAGUCUUUGGAGAAGGUGAGUCAGAUUGCACUUGGCAGCUGCAGGGCCACAGACUCCUGCUAUCUCAACGAUGGUCUACAGCCCAGAACAGUAGCAUUUCUGGUACACCCUGGAGCCACCCUGUCCUUGGAAUCCUUAAUAAGCAUGUGGUGAUCAGUUCUGUCUUCAUUUCAGAGUUGCCGAUGGUUGGGAGAUUUAAGAUACCCAACACCCUGAGACAUGCCCUGGACCGACUAUAAACCAGAAUCCCUAACCAAACAGACGCACAGUUGUGCACAAUUACUGGGUGCAGUAUGAUAUCUUGGGACACAUACGCAGCAUGUGUUGGUGUUCUGGGUUGACUUUGAGCACCCUCAUUGAUCCCUAGUUGAUAGUGUGGACUUAGGAGGUGUGGUCAAGCUAAAGGAAGUAGGCCCCAAAGAGACGAGCUUUUAAAGUUAUACCUGGUCUCCAGCCCCUUCCCCACUCCUGAUCUUGUCUGCCUGAGGCAAGACGUGGCCUCUGUCACAUGCUCCAGUCAGUCACUGCCACAGGCUACGUUUUGCCUUUUCCUGAGCUCAGAAUCACCAAUCAAGGCUUCUGAGCUGAGACCCCUAAAAACAGGAGCCCAAAUGCAUCCUCCCUCCCUUGGGGCUUAUACCGGGUCAUUCCAUCACAAGAGUGAAAAUCUGAUUAGCCCAGCUGGUAGGUAACACUAAAGGAAAUCUCCGUCCUAGAACAAUAGAAGUCACCUCUCCCGCCCGACUCUCUCUCCGGACCUAUUAGCCUUCCUCUCUCAGACCUUUCUCCUCAUGGUCCUCCCAGCUUCUGAUAGCUAUGGUCUACUCUCUAUCCCAUGAGAUCCAUAUUUUAGCUUCGAUGCAUGGCUGAGAGCAUGCGGGCAUUCGUCCGUCUGUAGGCAACGUCUUCCGGUUUGGACGCUCUCGGGUGAUUCCAGGGCAUAGCUGGGCUGCGAACCAGACACGCCUAGGCAGCCACGCCCCCACAUAUCUGAGGUAUCUCGGUGCCCCUGAGCACCAGGUGCCCUCUAGCCCUUUCCCACCCACCGCAAGACUCCCCCCGCCCCCCGCAACGUGGCCUUUGCUCUCCCCGCCCCUAGAUUUCCCUCAAACAUUCCCUCACCUUCCAACCCAGCUGAGUGACUCACUCCUGCCUCCCUUUCCCGCAACCCACCCUUGGUCCUUCCUCCAUCUUCCCCAUCUUGACCAAACUUGCUCGCUUUGCAACGGCCCCCACGGGACUUCUUCGGAGCAUGCCGCGGAGCUUUUUCCCUCACGUGACCCUUAUGGUUCUUUUUUUUUUUUUUUUUUUUUUUUUUUCGUGACCCUUAUGUACUCUCCUUUCUUUCCCUGCACGCCUCCUUCUCACUAGACCGGGAGCCACGAGGGCAGAGUGAAGCCCCGCUGACUUUGCUGAUCCCGAAGCCCCCACGCUUGACGGGGCACCCAGCAGCUGUGACCGCUCCCCACCCCUCGCUCGUCCUGUGCCUCAUCCAGGUGGAGGGCAGACUUAACAUGGCUGGCAAGUCCGGAAAAGGCAGGCAGGGCCUGACAGACCUUGACACUUUGCAGAGGAGGUGACAGCCACCAGGGAGUGGCCUGCUAGCCUCACAGCUAACUGGUCUCAUUAAAGCUGUUAGGGUAGAGAGUGCUUUCUAGGGCUCCAGGCCUUGAAUUCAACUCACAGCCUUAAUGGGGGUGGGAAGGGCAGCUCUUUACAAAUCACUAUUCUAAAAGGAGUAGGCAAGCCUGACGUUAGGCAAACUGCUCUCCUUCCUGACAGAAGUUCCUGUCGUGUACAUAUCAGUUAACACAGAACUGGGGCUCUCCCUUCUAGAUAAUAACUUACCCUUUAGCAGAGCAAGAGGGGGUCUCCCCCCCAACACACAACUGGCAGAAACUGACCACCAGACCUCAAAGGAAACAUCGCCCAAACUCCAGGCGCUGCCCGAACCUCUCUCUGGCAGCUUUUUUUUUUUUUUUUUUUUCUGGCUUCGAGACAAACUCAUGAUAAAAGUCCUUUUAAUACAGAGGCUCGCAUCUGGCCUGAGAGUCUGCCUCUGUUUUCCUCCACAUUAUGGAAACCCUCUCACAGACCACCCUUACAGAAAGCCAGGCAGCAGCACACAGAUAUUUAAUGUCAGAAGCAGCCACAGAGAGGGGACCUCACCCAACCCUCACUGGCAUCUGUGUCCCUUCAAUAGGUAACACCGCCAUGCCAGGUCACGCUGCGGACAGGCUCGGCAUACGGAUCCACACCAAUCGCGCUCAAGACAGUUCUUGAAGAUCGGAUUUGGGACCUGCGAGCUGUAGAAGCUGCCAGUGAGCUGGGCGGAUCCCAUUCCAUUCAAACCUAAAUCUCCCACUGAGACUUCAGCCCAAAGUAGGGCCUUCUGAGCCCAACGGGGAAACCUGUUUGCACAUGCCCACACAUUCCAGACACCAGGCCAUGGUGACGUGUCUGCAUUAAGAACUUCCCUCGCUCAAAAAUGAGCCUCUGAGAAAGUUAACAGAGAGCUCAGACGUCGAUGAGGGAGGCUAAGGAGAUGGUUCAGCCUGGGUGGUGCUCGGCGUGCAAGCCUGAGAAUCUGAGUUCAAAUCCCCAGCACGCAGGCCGGCAGCCAUGAGGGUGGCUGUGUUUCUGAAGAAAACAUAGCAGGGUUAGGAAACCGAAGAGAAAGGAAUGAUGGAGACUUUGUGAGCUGGGAAGGACAUCAGAGCAGAGCGCAGCUUCACCGACCUGACCAGCACUGGACCCUAUAACAGUACUGGGAGCUCUGUGUGUGAAAACAAGUUUUCCUCCCUCCUCAUUUCCCUUCCCUCAGUCCUCUCUUCUCUCUCCUUCUCCCCUCCUCUCCCCUCCCAUGUCCUCCCCUGUCCUCUCCUCCUCUCUGGCUGGGUAUGGGACUCUUUGUCACACAUGCAGAGCUCCAUCUCCACCCUGGGACUCUUAGCAGCCAAAUCACAAAAUAAAAAAAGAAAUGGUGACAUUUAGUUCAAAC